Molecule: ribosomal RNA, 497 nt
Filed under: uncultured bacterium
Lineage: Bacteria
Description: partial 16S ribosomal RNA
Rfam family: Bacterial small subunit ribosomal RNA
Source: RNAcentral
GAUGAACGCUGGCGGCGUGCCUAAUACAUGCAAGUCGAGCGAACAGACGAGGAGCUUGCUCCUCUGACGUUAGCGGCGGACGGGUGAGUAACACGUGGAUAACCUACCUAUAAGACUGGGAUAACUUCGGGAAACCGGAGCUAAUACCGGAUAAUAUAUUGAACCGCAUGGUUCAAUAGUGAAAGACGGUUUUGCUGUCACUUAUAGAUGGAUCCGCGCCGCAUUCGCUAGUUGGUAAGGUAACGGCUUACCAAGGCAACGAUGCGUAGCCGACCUGAGAGGGUGAUCGGCCACACUGGAACUGAGACACGGUCCAGACUCCUACGGGAGGCAGCAGUAGGGAAUCGUCCGCAAUGGGCGAAAGCCUGACGGAGCAACGCCGCGUGAGUGAUGAAGGUCUUCGGAUCGUAAAACUCUGUUAUUAGGGAAGAACAAAUGUGUAAGUAACUAUGCACGUCUUGACGGUACCUAAUCAGAAAGCCACGGCUAACUACGUG